CAGUAGCCGCGGGAAUACGGAGGGUGCAAGCGUUAAUCGGAAUUACUGGGCGUAAAGCGCACGCAGGCGGUCUGUCAAGUCAGAUGUGAAAUCCCCGGGCUUAACCUGGGAACUGCAUUUGAAACUGGCAGGCUAGAGUCUUGUAGAGGGGGGUAGAAUUCCAGGUGUAGCGGUGAAAUGCGUAGAGAUCUGGAGGAAUACCGGUGGCGAAGGCGGCCCCCUGGACAAAGACUGACGCUCAGGUGCGAAAGCGUGGGGAGCAAACAGGAUUAGAUACCCCAGUAGUCCCUGUCUCUUAUAC
This 301-nucleotide ribosomal RNA is filed under the name uncultured bacterium. RNAcentral describes it as "partial 16S ribosomal RNA". It matches the Rfam family "Bacterial small subunit ribosomal RNA", at positions 509 to 807 of the family's 1533-position model. The record is from RNAcentral.